Molecule: ribosomal RNA, 808 nt
Filed under: uncultured bacterium
Lineage: Bacteria
Description: bacterial SSU rRNA
Rfam family: Bacterial small subunit ribosomal RNA
Source: RNAcentral
AGAGUUUGACCCUGGCUCAGGACGAACGCUGGCGGCGUGCCUAACACGUGCAAGUCGAACGGAGAUCCGCGCUGAAUGACGAAGCUUGCUUUUGAAUUCUUGUGUAUCUUAGUGGCGGACGGGUGAGUAACGCGUGAGCAACCUGCCUUUCAGAGGGGGAUAACGUUUGGAAACGAACGCUAAUACCGCAUGAGACUACAGUACUACAUGGUACAGUGGCCAAAGGAGCAAUCCGCUGAAAGAUGGGCUCGCGUCCGAUUAGAUAGUUGGCGGGGUAACGGCCCACCAAGUCGACGAUCGGUAGCCGGACUGAGAGGUUGAACGGCCACAUUGGGACUGAGACACGGCCCAGACUCCUACGGGAGGCAGCAGUGAGGGAUAUUGGUCAAUGGGGGAAACCCUGAACCAGCAACGCCGCGUGAGGGAAGACGGUUUUCGGAUUGUAAACCUCUGUCCUCUGUGAAGAUAAUGACGGUAGCAGAGGAGGAAGCUCCGGCUAACUACGUGCCAGCAGCCGCGGUAAUACGUAGGGAGCAAGCGUUGUCCGGAUUUACUGGGUGUAAAGGGUGCGUAGGCGGCCUUGCAAGUCAGAAGUGAAAUCUAUGGGCUUAACCCAUAAACUGCUUUUGAAACUGUAAGGCUUGAGUGAAGUAGAGGCAGGCGGAAUUCCCGGUGUAGCGGUGAAAUGCGUAGAGAUCGGGAGGAACACCAGUGGCGAAGGCGGCCUACUGGGCUUUAACUGACGCUGAGGCACGAAAGCGUGGGUAGCAAACAGGAUUAGAUACCCUGGUAGUCCACGCUGUAAACG